RNAcentral lists this ribosomal RNA (253 nucleotides) under uncultured bacterium. RNAcentral's name for it is "partial 16S ribosomal RNA". It matches the Rfam family "Bacterial small subunit ribosomal RNA", at positions 524 to 776 of the family's 1533-position model. The record is from RNAcentral.
UACAGAGGGUGCGAGCGUUAAUCGGAAUUACUGGGCGUAAAGCGUGCGUAGACGGUUAUUUAAGUCAGGUGUGAAAGCCCCGGGCUCAACCUGGGAAUUGCAUUCGAGACUGAAUAGCUAGGGUGCGGAAGAGGGAAGCGGAAUUUCCGGUGUAGCGGUGAAAUGCGUAGAUAUCGGAAGGAACACCAGUGGCGAAAGCGGCUUCCUGGUCCAGCACCGACGUUCAGGCACGAAAGCGUGGGGAGCAAACAGG